RNAcentral lists this transfer RNA (73 nucleotides) under Agkistrodon piscivorus (cottonmouth). RNAcentral describes it as "tRNA-Leu". The record is from RNAcentral. Lineage: Eukaryota; Metazoa; Chordata; Lepidosauria; Squamata; Viperidae.
UCUAUCAAAGGAGAAUAGUUACUCCCCUGGUCUUAGGCGCCAGAACUCUUGGUGCUAAUCCAAGUGGUAGAAU